AACGUAGGACGCGAGCGUUAUCCGGAGUUACUGGGCGUAAAGCGCGGGCAGGCGGUCUGACAAGUCUGAUGUGAAAUCUCCCGGCUCAACUGGGAGGGUGCGCUAGAAACUGGAAUGCUAGAGGAUGGGAGAGGUAAGCGGAAUUCCUGGUGUAGCGGUGAAAUGCGUAGAUAUCAGGAGGAACACCUGUGGUGUAGACAGCUUACUGGACCAUUUCUGACGCUGAGACACGAGAGCGUGGGUAGCAAACAGG
RNAcentral lists this ribosomal RNA (253 nucleotides) under uncultured bacterium. RNAcentral's name for it is "partial 16S ribosomal RNA". It matches the Rfam family "Bacterial small subunit ribosomal RNA", at positions 524 to 776 of the family's 1533-position model. The record is from RNAcentral.